RNAcentral lists this ribosomal RNA (464 nucleotides) under Vreelandella stevensii. Its description in RNAcentral is "partial 16S ribosomal RNA". It matches the Rfam family "Bacterial small subunit ribosomal RNA", at positions 338 to 794 of the family's 1533-position model. Lineage: Bacteria; Pseudomonadati; Pseudomonadota; Gammaproteobacteria; Oceanospirillales; Halomonadaceae. The record is from RNAcentral.
CCUACGGGCGGCUGCAGUGGGGAAUAUUGGACAAUGGGCGAAAGGCUGAUCCAGCCAUGCCGCGUGUGUGAAGAAGGCCUUCGGGUUGUAAAGCACUUUCAGUGGGGAAGAAAGCCUUGGGGCUAAUACCCUCGAGGAAGGACAUCACCCACAGAAGAAGCACCGGCUAACUCCGUGCCAGCAGCCGCGGUAAUACGGAGGGUGCGAGCGUUAAUCGGAAUUACUGGGCGUAAAGCGCGCGUAGGCGGUCUGAUAAGCCGGUUGUGAAAGCCCCGGGCUCAACCUGGGAACGGCAUCCGGAACUGUCAGGCUAGAGUGCAGGAGAGGAAGGUAGAAUUCCCGGUGUAGCGGUGAAAUGCGUAGAGAUCGGGAGGAAUACCAGUGGCGAAGGCGGCCUUCUGGACUGACACUGACGCUGAGGUGCGAAAGCGUGGGUAGCAAACAGGAUUAGAUACCCUAGUAUC